ACCCACACAAAUUACACUGAAAAACUCUGCUGACUUACAAAUUAAGCCCAAUAGGAAAAAUACAUUGUACAAUUACAGUCCCAACCCACACAAAUUACACUGUAGAACUCUACUCAUUUACGGUGUAAGCCCAACAGGAAAAAUACACUUUACAAUUACAUUCCUCACCCAGAAAGAUUACAGUGUAAAACUCUGCUCACUUAUGGUCUAAGCCCUAGGAAAAAUACACUGUAAGCCCUACAACAAAAUAUAGUCCUCACCCACAAAAAUUAUAGUGUAAAACUCUACUCAAUUACGGUGUAAGCCCUAUGAAAAAUACAAGCUAAGCCCAAACCACAAAUUACAGUCCUCAUCAACACAAAAUACAGUGGAAAACUCUGCUAAUUUACAGUGUAAGCCCUAUGGUUAAUUGCAGUGGAAAACUCUGCUAAUUUACAGUGUAAGCCCUAUGGUUAGUUGCAGUGUAAGCCAUAUGGUUAAUUACAUUCCUCACCCACACAAAUUACAGUGUAAAACUCCAGGAAAAUACACCGAACUUCAGAAAUACAUUACAAAAAUUCAUCGGGCAUACAACUGCAUCAAAAGAAAACUAGGGGAGUACAGUCUAAGUCAGAGAUACAUCAAAUAGAAAUUAUGAAAAAAUACAGUAUCAAUCAUACUAUGAUGAAGGCAGUGCUACUACACAUGCAUAGUGAAGAACAAGAGGGGUAUUACAGACUAGAACAGGGCCAAAGGAUACAAUAUUUACAAAGGCCAAAGGAUACAAUACCCACACACUAAUUAGGGAGCAAGUUGCACAUCAACUAUGACAACAUAAACACUGGGAAAAAUACUGCAAGGGGUACAAUAUUAACUAAAAAAGAAGAAAGUACAGCAAAGCUACAUAUGGCACAUAAGCAAGCAGUGAAGUUCUACAACACAGAGAUGCAUAUAGGUCAACUGCACAGAGAUGAAGGGAGAGAAAAUGCACAGCAGAACUUCAUGCGCAUACCACUGCAGACCCUUGAUCUUACAUACACUCCUAUUAUGGAGAAAACACUGAAAAACAAGCAUGUAAUUCAGGAAAAUGCACAACAAAAGGAGCAAAAUACAUAGAGAUGUUCAGUAAAACAUCCGGGAUGAACAACAACAUGGUAAAAAAUGAGACUAACAUGACAAAAUUCUGGGGCUACAACCAGGAACUAUUCAGGGACAAGCUACGGGAUCCGCCGCUGAAAACUAACGCCUACAACGCCUACCUCAACAUCAACUGCAGAAAAACUUACCUCUACGCCUACCUACACAUCAACAACGAGAACCAAAAAACCGCAGGGGGGAGGGAUUUCGUGUGCGACCACAACAACAACACACGGGAUCACGGCGAAACCUGCCCGUGGCGCACUGCAGGCUCCUACCAGAAAUUCACGCGCACACCCCAAAGGCGACACCGCGACAGCAACAUGCGCAGCCCGCGGAUCCGCGAAAUCACCUAGAUCUGAAACUACAAGGGCACGAAAACCACGGGCAAAAAGCGCAAGAGAGAGGGGACAACCAACCAGAGCAGCCGCGGACGACGAGAAACAAGAGGAAGAAGUCAGUAUCCUGCCGUGGAUGAGCUCGAAAUCACCAUGAACACAAGGAAUCGCCUCCCCCUCCUCCGCCGCUCGACCUCUCCCCUCUGCCUUAUCGGAAUGGAAAUGGGGAAUGACACCCCGCUCCUAAAUUCAAUAAUGACAAAAGCCAACAGUACCCGGCCG
Molecule: long non-coding RNA, 1736 nt
Filed under: Triticum aestivum (bread wheat)
Lineage: Eukaryota; Viridiplantae; Streptophyta; Magnoliopsida; Poales; Poaceae
Description: long non-coding RNA (TAES_LNC024568)
Source: RNAcentral